AGAGUUUGAUCCUGGCUCAGAACGAACGCUGGCGGCGUGCUUAACACAUGCAAGUCGAACGCGAAAUUUUUCUUCGGAAAGAGAGUAGAGUGGCGCACGGGUGAGUAACGCGUAAAUAAUCUACCCCUGCAUUUGGGAUAACCCACCGAAAGGUGGGCUAAUACCGGAUACGUUCUUUAGGUUGCGAGAUUUAGAGAAGAAAGGUGGCCUCUGAUACAAGCUACCGUGCGGGGAGGAAUUUGCGUACCAUUAGCUAGUUGGUAGGGUAAAGGCCUACCAAGGCGACGAUGGUUAGCGGGUCUGAGAGGAUGAUCCGCCACACUGGAACUGGAACACGGACCAGACUCCUACGGGAGGCAGCAGUGAGGAAUAUUGCGCAAUGGGGGAAACCCUGACGCAGCGACGCCGCGUGGAUGAUGAAGGCCUUCGGGUCGUAAAAUCCUGUCAGAUGGAAAGAAGUGUAUAUGUGUUAACAGCGCAUAUAUUUGACGGUACCAUCAAAGGAAGCACCGGCUAACUCCGUGCCAGCAGCCGCGGUAAUACGGAGGGUGCAAGCGUUGUUCGGAAUUACUGGGCGUAAAGCGCGCGUAGGUGGUUUGUUAUGUCAGAUGUGAAAGUCCACGGCUCAACCGUGGAAGUGCAUUUGAAACUGGCUGACUUGAGUACUGGAGGGGGUAGUGGAAUUCCCGGUGUAGAGGUGAAAUUCGUAGAUAUCGGGAGGAAUACCGGUGGCGAAGGCGACUACCUGGCCAGAUACUGACACUGAGGUGCGAAAGCGUGGGGAGCAAACAGGAUUAGAUACCCUGGUAGUCCACGCCGUAAACGAUGUCAACUAGGUGUUGGGAUGGUUAAUCGUCUCAUUGCCGCAGCUAACGCAUUAAGUUGACCGCCUGGGGAGUACGGUCGCAAGAUUAAACUCAAAGGAAUUGACGGGGGCCCGCACAGCGGUGGAGUAUGUGGUUUAUUCGACGCACGCGAAGACCUUACUGG
RNAcentral lists this ribosomal RNA (990 nucleotides) under uncultured delta proteobacterium. RNAcentral's name for it is "bacterial SSU rRNA". It matches the Rfam family "Bacterial small subunit ribosomal RNA", at positions 8 to 977 of the family's 1533-position model. The record is from RNAcentral. Lineage: Bacteria; Deltaproteobacteria.